UUGAUCCUGGCUCAGAAUCAACGCUGGCGGCGUGCCUAACACAUGCAAGUCGAACGCGAAAGCCCCGCAAGGGGUAAGUAGAGUGGCAAACGGGUGAGUUACACGUGGGUGACCUGCCUUCGAGUGGGGGAUAACGUCCCGAAAGGGACUCUAAUACCGCAUGACAUCCUGCUCUUGGACGAGCGGAGAUCAAAGCUGGUGAUCGCAAGACCUGGCGCUUGAAGAGGGGCCCGCGCCUGAUUAGCUAGUUGGUGAGGUAACGGCUCACCAAGGCGACGAUCAGUAUCCGGCCUGAGAGGUCGGACGGACACACUGGGACUGAGACACGGCCCAGACUCCUACGGGAGGCUGCAGUGGGGAAUUGUUCGCAAUGAGCGCAAGCCUGACGACGCAACGCCGUGUGGAGGAUGAAGAUCUUCGGGUCGUAAACUCCUGUCGAGCGGGAAGAAUGUUUCGCGGAUGAAUAAGCCGCGGAAGUGACGGUACCGCUAAAGGAAGCUCCGGCUAACUCCGUGCCAGCAGCCGCGGUAAUAAGGU
Molecule: ribosomal RNA, 537 nt
Filed under: uncultured Acidobacteriota bacterium
Lineage: Bacteria; Pseudomonadati; Acidobacteriota
Description: bacterial SSU rRNA
Rfam family: Bacterial small subunit ribosomal RNA
Source: RNAcentral